UGGGGAAUAUUGCACAAUGGGGGAAACCCUGAUGCAGCGACGCCGCGUGGAGGAUGACGGCCUUCGGGUUGUAAACUCCUUUUGUCAGGGACAAUGGUGAUGGUACCUGACGAAUAAGCCACGGCUAACUCUGUG
Molecule: ribosomal RNA, 135 nt
Filed under: uncultured Eubacterium sp.
Lineage: Bacteria; Bacillati; Bacillota; Clostridia; Eubacteriales; Eubacteriaceae
Description: partial 16S ribosomal RNA
Rfam family: Bacterial small subunit ribosomal RNA
Source: RNAcentral